GAUGAAGAACGUAGCGAAAUGCGAUAAGUAAUGUGAAUUGCAGAAUUCAGUGAAUCAUCGAAUCUUUGAACGCACCUUGCGCUCCUUGGUAUUCCGAGGAGCAUGCCUGUUUGAGUGUCAUGAAAUUCUCAACCUUUUCAGCUUUCUUUGUUGAUCAGGCUUGGAUGUGGGAGUAUGCGGGCAUCUCAGAAGUCGGCUCUCCUGAAAUGCAUUAGCGGGACCUUUGUUGCCUGGCUUUGGUGUGAUAAUUAUCUACGCCAUUGUAGUCAAGCAGCUUAAAAUGAGGUUUCAGCUUCUAACCGUCUCCCCUGAGACAACUUUUUGACAAUUUGACCUCAAAUCAGGUAGGACUACCCGCUGAACUUAAGCAUAUCAAUAAGCGGAGGA
This 387-nucleotide unclassified non-coding RNA is filed under the name soil metagenome. Its description in RNAcentral is "partial contains 5.8S ribosomal RNA, internal transcribed spacer 2, and large subunit ribosomal RNA". The stretch from base 1 to 120 matches the Rfam family "5.8S ribosomal RNA", at positions 35 to 154 of the family's 154-position model. The record is from RNAcentral.